ACGGAUCACGCCGCGUGAGUGAUGAAGGUUUUCGGAUCGUAAAACUCUGUUGUUAGGGAAGAACAAUGCAUAGUAACUGAUGGCACCUUGACGGUACCUAACCAGAAAGCCACGGCUAACUACGUGCCAGCAGCCGCGGUAAUACGUAGGUGGCAAGCGUUGUCCGGAAUUAUUGGGCGUAAGGCGCUCGCAGGCGGUUCUUUAAGUCUGAUGUGAAAUCUUACGGCUCAACCGUAAACGUGCAUUGGAAACUGGGGAACUUGAGUGCAGAAGAGGAGAGUGGAAUUCCACGUGUAGCGGUGAAAUGCGUAGAGAUGUGGAGGAACACCAGUGGCGAAGGCGACUCUCUGGUCUGUAACUGACGCUGAGGAGCGAAAGCGUGGGGAGCGAACAGGAUUAGAUACCCUGGUAGUCCACGCCGUAAACGAUGAGUGCUAGGUGUUAGGGGGUUUCCGCCCCUUAGUGCUGAAGUUAACGCAUUAAGCACUCCGCCUGGGGAGUACGG
This 505-nucleotide ribosomal RNA is filed under the name uncultured bacterium. RNAcentral describes it as "bacterial SSU rRNA". It matches the Rfam family "Bacterial small subunit ribosomal RNA", at positions 386 to 885 of the family's 1533-position model. The record is from RNAcentral.